RNAcentral lists this ribosomal RNA (669 nucleotides) under uncultured bacterium. Its description in RNAcentral is "bacterial SSU rRNA". It matches the Rfam family "Bacterial small subunit ribosomal RNA", at positions 247 to 916 of the family's 1533-position model. The record is from RNAcentral.
UGUUGGCGGGGUAACGGCCCACCAAGACUACGAUGGAUAGGGGUUCUGAGAGGAAGGUCCCCCACAUUGGAACUGAGACACGGUCCAAACUCCUACGGGAGGCAGCAGUGAGGAAUAUUGGUCAAUGGGCGCGAGCCUGAACCAGCCAAGUAGCGUGAAGGAUGAAGGCUCUAUGGGUCGUAAACUUCUUUUAUAUGGGAAUAAAGUUUUCCACGUGUGGAAUUUUGUAUGUACCAUAUGAAUAAGGAUCGGCUAACUCCGUGCCAGCAGCCGCGGUAAUACGGAGGAUCCGAGCGUUAUCCGGAUUUAUUGGGUUUAAAGGGAGCGUAGGUGGAUUGUUAAGUCAGUUGUGAAAGUUUGCGGCUCAACCGUAAAAUUGCAGUUGAAACUGGCAGUCUUGAGUACAGUAGAGGUGGGCGGAAUUCGUGGUGUAGCGGUGAAAUGCUUAGAUAUCACGAAGAACUCCGAUUGCGAAGGCAGCUCACUAGACUGUUACUGACACUGAUGCUCGAAAGUGUGGGUAUCAAACAGGAUUAGAUACCCUGGUAGUCCACACAGUAAACGAUGAAUACUCGCUGUUUGCGAUAUACAGUAAGCGGCCAAGCGAAAGCAUUAAGUAUUCCACCUGGGGAGUACGCCGGCAACGGUGCAAGGGAAAGGAAUUGACGG